Molecule: ribosomal RNA, 1345 nt
Filed under: uncultured bacterium
Lineage: Bacteria
Description: bacterial SSU rRNA
Rfam family: Bacterial small subunit ribosomal RNA
Source: RNAcentral
GAUGAACGCUAGCGGGAGGCCUAACACAUGCAAGUUUAGCGGUAUUGUUUCUUCGGAAAUGAGAGAGCGGCGUACGGGUGCGGAACACGUGUGCAACCUGCCUUUAUCUGGGGGAUAGCCUUUCGAAAGGAAGAUUAAUACUCCAUAACAUAUUGAUUGGCAUCAAUUAAUAUUGAAAGCUCCGGCGGAUAGAGAUGGGCACGCGCAAGAUUAGCUAGUUGGUGAGGUAACGGCUCACCAAGGCGAUGAUCUUUAGGGGGCCUGAGAGGGUGAUCCCCCACACUGGUACUGAGACACGGACCAGACUCCUACGGGAGGCAGCAGUGAGGAAUAUUGGUCAAUGGGUGCAAGCCUGAACCAGCCAUCCCGCGUGAAGGACGACUGCCCUAUGGGUUGUAAACUUCUUUUGUAUAGGGAUAAACCUACCCUCGUGAGGGUAGCUGAAGGUACUAUACGAAUAAGCACCGGCUAACUCCGUGCCAGCAGCCGCGGUAAUACGGAGGGUGCAAGCGUUAUCCGGAUUUAUUGGGUUUAAAGGGUCCGUAGGCGGACUUAUAAGUCAGUGGUGAAAGCCUGUCGCUUAACGAUAGAACUGCCAUUGAUACUGUAAGUCUUGAGUAUAUUUGAGGUAGCUGGAAUAAGUAGUGUAGCGGUGAAAUGCAUAGAUAUUACUUAGAACACCAAUUGCGAAGGCAGGUUACCAAGAUAUAACUGACGCUGAGGGACGAAAGCGUGGGGAGCGAACAGGAUUAGAUACCCUGGUAGUCCACGCCGUAAACGAUGCUAACUCGUUUUUGGGCUUUAGGGUUCAGAGACCAAGCGAAAGUGAUAAGUUAGCCACCUGGGGAGUACGCUCGCAAGAGUGAGACUCAAAGGAAUUGACGGGGGCCCGCACAAGCGGUGGAUUAUGUGGUUUAAUUCGAUGAUACGCGAGGAACCUUACCAAGACUUAAAUGGGAAUUGACAGCUUUAGAAAUAGAGCUUUCUUCGGACAAUUUUCAAGGUGCUGCAUGGUUGUCGUCAGCUCGUGCCGUGAGGUGUUAGGUUAAGUCCUGCAACGAGCGCAACCCCUGUCACUAGUUGCCAUCAUUCAGUUGGGGACUCUAGUGAGACUGCCUACGCAAGUAGAGAGGAAGGUGGGGAUGACGUCAAAUCAUCACGGCCCUUACGUCUUGGGCCACACACGUAAUACAAUGGCCGGUACAGAGGGCAGCUACACAGCGAUGUGAUGCAAAUCUCGAAAGCCGGUCUCAGUUCGGAUUGGAGUCUGCAACUCGACUCUAUGAAGCUGGAAUCGCUAGUAAUCGCGCAUCAGCCAUGGCGCGGUGAAUACGUUCCCGGGCCU